Sycon ciliatum is the source of this 2686-nucleotide RNA transcript. RefSeq lists it as uncharacterized. Lineage: Eukaryota; Metazoa; Porifera; Calcarea; Leucosolenida; Sycettidae. The transcript is spliced from 16 exons. The record is from RefSeq and is a predicted model, not a curated record.
UUCUGCUUUUGAGGUUGUCAACGCCACCGUUGCUUCCCCCAGAACAGAUCACAAAGUACAAUCAUACAUGUAUAUAAUGCAGAUUGAGUAUAUAAUAGUAUAUACGUAGAGCAGUAAGUGAAACCAGAAUUUCUUCGUAUUGGUCGAGAAGACUGCGACUGAGGUUUAGACCGACAGGAGAAUGAGGUUUCUCCAGGUCGUCACGCUGCUAGGAGUAGGAGUACUUCUUGGAGCCGCCCUCCCAACCAAAGCCAUUCCGGCACCGAAAUGGGAUGGGAAGGAUCACUCGGAAAUUCUCAAAGACCUGGUGCUGAACUACAAGUACAACGAUGACGCUCGUGAACCACGAGAAAGUACCGAAUGCAGCGGAAAUGCUAGCUACACUGGCCAGUGUAACUUGGACUGUCAGUGUGUGGAUGGCAAGUGGAAAUGCUGCCGGCUGAGGAAGAGUGUCAAGAACUUAUCUCAGGAGGAGAGAGAUCGAUUUACACGUACAUUCUUGACAGCUACCAGGAAUGAAAUUUACCAGCCAGCUAUGCGUUCCAUACAAUGGUCGCAUGCCGUGUUCGUCUGCGGAAAGGUACCCAAGUCAUUGUAUACACAAAGCGAUACCAUAGGCUAUCACAACUUGCUUUUGUUUGCUAUGGAGAACCUGCUACGCCUGAUUGACUGCCGGGUUACUAUUCGCUACUGGGAUGUUUCACUGGACUAUGGCAAGACGUACUUAGAGCAAGUACCUGAAGGUUUUGGUGGCACAGGAGUGCCCCCAGAUUACUGUGUAGUUGAUGGACCAUACAGAAAAGGGGAAUACACCAUACUAAAGUUCAGUUACAAUGGCGUGGAGUUGCCCUACACGUCAUGCUUAACACGGAAUAUGUCCUCCACAAUGAAGCCUACAUCGUACCUAGAGUUCAAUACAAUGUUGACUGUGCCUCCAGACAGCUCUAUGAUGUUUGAGCUAGGUGUCUACGAGACCUUUGAUACCAACUUCCAUCUUGGUUUCGGUGGAACAUUCCAAGGCGUGAUACCAGGCAUGGAUCCAUUAUUUUACAUGAUCCACAAUUUCGGGACCAAGGUGUUGGCAAACUACCAGCAGCAAGGACCGGAUCACUUCACUGGCGGAGGACGUUGGAAUAACAGUGCGCCAGUGGAAACUUUACCGUGGUUUCAGAACAGGGAGUUUUUUGACGCUCAAAACUUUCCGAAUGAUGUGUGCAUCCGCUGGGAUGCUGUGGCUGAUCGAGAGAAGCUGAUCGAGAUGGGACACUACGCAGGACUGGAAACACCAAGGUUGGACCACAUAGCGUUGCCCUAUAAGCUUGGUGACAUCGUCCAAGAUCGACAGGGAUGGCGGGUCACCUGCCGUGACGCUGUCGACGCUAUUGUCCAGUCCCGCAUGGAGCCUGUGGCGAAGGCCCCUCAUUUGUGGCACUUGUGCGCGCAGUUUUCGUCGGCCACAGGAUAUUGCGACGCACAAGUGUAACGCUGUUCGCGCGGCCCGCGCGCGCUGAGUAUGGCGUUCCCCGCCCGGUGGACAACACGUCUCCUGGUCUGCCCCGUAUGUGGCCACAUAGCCAGUCAUGGCAGUGGAAGAAGGAAGGAAGGAAGCUUUCACCGUCCAGGAGCGACACUGACUCGCACUGCUAUCUGGUGCUCACGAGGUGUUUGUCGCGCUGCAAACGGAGCGUCUCUCAUUAGGCGAUUUGAUCGCAGGACGAGAGAGGAGCUGAUGGACGAUCUCUCCAAUGUUCCUCUUGGUUCGGAGCGGCGCCGAGUGCUGACGUUGGGACUUGGCCGGUGUGUGCACACCGCUAGCUAAACCGACCAACGGCUACUCCCAGGGCACAAACUAUUCUGCUGGAGGCAGCGUCGUCUUCGGCUGAAAUUCCGGAUACAACCUGCAGGGAAGCAUUGUGCGCAUCUGCCAGAUUGACGGUUCCUGGAGUGGGGCAGCUGCCUCAUGUAAUCCCAUUCAACUGCAGUGCCAGUCUGGCUACCUGCCCUGCCUGCGUUCCAGUGGCUGUAUCCUGCCAUCACAGCGCUGCGACGGUGUUUGGUACGACUGCUGAUGGCUCUGAUGCACAGUACUGCCCAGGCAAGGUCACACCAGCUCCAGGUCAAACCGACUGCCAGGUCCUGUCACCACCGGCACUGGGCUCAAUGACCGUGAACGGCUUGAUGUUCAGCAACACGACCACGUUUGUGUGCACAUCUCCCUAUGUCCUUAUGGGCUCGGCCGUGUGUACUUGUGAAAUCAACGGCCAGUGGAGCGUAGUGCAGCCAACUUGCGUCCUGACGACUGCUGCUCUGAGUGCGGCCAGUGACGAGCUAGUCAAGGACUCCGUCUCAGAACGCAUGACACAAACGUGUUAGCUCCCGCUCCAUGCCCAUUGUUGGAGCGACAGUCCUGGAAUCCAGAGUUGCAAGUUAGGUGGUGAUACGGCAAGCAGACGGUGGCAAAGUACGGCUUAAAAGCUCUACAUCUGGCAAGUGGCCGGCAUACCACCCCAAUGGACAUCGGAACAGUGCACGUAGAGUAGCAUCUCUACGUGACAGGGUAUGAGCGCAAGCCAGUAUUGCCAAGCACUGGGGACCUUUGGCAAUCUGAAGAAUGUUUUGUCCGAGAAUCGAUCCUUGGAUCUGUGGCGUUGCAGUUGUGGUGCUCCCGACCCUCUUGCGCGAUGGC